AUUAUUUAAAUAAGAUGUUUGGUGUGUAUUAGACUUGGGCAUUUCAGAAAUUUUCGUUUCGUACGAAUGUAUUCGUACGAAAAAGAAAAUACUUUAGUCAGAACCGAAUUUCGUCAAUUCUUUCAUUCGUUUUCGUACGAUAUUCGGUAGUAUUUUCGUUUCGGCUAAACUUGUUUGUUCAUUCGGCGCGAUUUAAUUGAGCCAAAUGAAUUGAAUACAUAAAACUAUGUUCCC
RNAcentral lists this long non-coding RNA (234 nucleotides) under Pelobates cultripes (western spadefoot toad). The record is from RNAcentral. Lineage: Eukaryota; Metazoa; Chordata; Amphibia; Anura; Pelobatidae.